Molecule: ribosomal RNA, 165 nt
Filed under: Tapinella atrotomentosa
Lineage: Eukaryota; Fungi; Basidiomycota; Agaricomycetes; Boletales; Tapinellaceae
Description: 5.8S ribosomal RNA
Rfam family: 5.8S ribosomal RNA
About the family: 5.8S ribosomal RNA (5.8S rRNA) is a component of the large subunit of the eukaryotic ribosome.
Source: RNAcentral
CAACUUUCAGCAAUGGAUCUCUUGGCUCUCGCAUCGAUGAAGAACGCAGCGAAUUGCGAUAUGUAAUGUGAAUUGCAGAUUUUCCGUGAAUCAUCGAAUUUUUGAACGCACCUUGCACUCCUUGGUAUUCCGAGGAGUAUGCCUGUUUGAGUGUCAUUAAAUUCU